GAUGAACGCUGGCGGCGUGCUUAACACAUGCAAGUCGAACGGUGAACACGGAGCUUGCUCUGUGGGAUCAGUGGCGAACGGGUGAGUAACACGUGAGCAACCUGCCCCUGACUCUGGGAUAAGCGCUGGAAACGGCGUCUAAUACUGGAUAUGUGACGUGACCGCAUGGUCUGCGUUUGGAAAGAUUUUUCGGUUGGGGAUGGGCUCGCGGCCUAUCAGCUUGUUGGUGAGGUAAUGGCUCACCAAGGCGUCGACGGGUAGCCGGCCUGAGAGGGUGACCGGCCACACUGGGAUUGAGACACGGCCCAGGCUCCUACGGGAGGCAGCAGUGGGGAAUAUUGCACAAUGGGCGAAAGCCUGAUGCAGCAACGCCGCGUGAGGGAUGACGGCCUUCGGGUUGUAAACCUUUUUUAGCAGGGAAGAAGCGAAAGUGACGGUACCUGCAGAAAAAGCGCCGGCUAACUACGUG
This 469-nucleotide ribosomal RNA is filed under the name uncultured bacterium. Its description in RNAcentral is "partial 16S ribosomal RNA". It matches the Rfam family "Bacterial small subunit ribosomal RNA", at positions 28 to 507 of the family's 1533-position model. The record is from RNAcentral.